Molecule: ribosomal RNA, 200 nt
Filed under: uncultured bacterium
Lineage: Bacteria
Description: partial 16S ribosomal RNA
Rfam family: Bacterial small subunit ribosomal RNA
Source: RNAcentral
UACGGAGGGUCCAAGCGUUAUCCGGAUUUAUUGGGUUUAAAGGGUCCGUAGGCGGGAGAAUAAGUCAGUGGUGAAAGCCUACAGCUCAACUGUAGAACUGCCAUUGAAACUGUUUUUCUUGAAUUUAGAUGAAGUGGGCGGAAUAUAUCAUGUAGCGGUGAAAUGCAUAGAUAUGAUAUAGAACACCGAUUGCGAAGGCA